GACGAACGCUGGCGGCGUGCUUAACACAUGCAAGUCGAGCGGUAAGGCCCUUUCGGGGGUACACGAGCGGCGAACGGGUGAGUAACACGUGGGUGACCUGCCCUCAGCUCUGGGAUAAGCCUGGGAAACCGGGUCUAAUACUGGAUAUGACUCCAUGACGCAUGUUGUGGGGUGGAAAGCCUUGUGCGGCUGAGGAUGGGCCCGCGGCCUAUCAGCUUGUUGGUGGGGUGANGGCCUACCAAGGCGACGACGGGUAGCCGGCCUGAGGGGGCGACCGGCCACACUGGGACUGAGACACGGCCCAGACUCCUACGGGAGGCAGCAGUGGGGAAUCUUGCGCAAUGGGCGAAAGCCUGACGCAGCGACGCCGCGUGAGGGAUGACGGCCUGGUGUAAC
This 396-nucleotide ribosomal RNA is filed under the name uncultured bacterium. RNAcentral's name for it is "bacterial SSU rRNA". It matches the Rfam family "Bacterial small subunit ribosomal RNA", at positions 28 to 429 of the family's 1533-position model. The record is from RNAcentral.